RNAcentral lists this ribosomal RNA (554 nucleotides) under uncultured bacterium. RNAcentral describes it as "partial 16S ribosomal RNA". It matches the Rfam family "Bacterial small subunit ribosomal RNA", at positions 355 to 900 of the family's 1533-position model. The record is from RNAcentral.
UAGGGAAUCUUCCACAAUGGACGCAAGUCUGAUGGAGCAACGCCGCGUGAGUGAAGAAGGUUUUCGGACCGUAAAGCUCUGUUGUUGGUGAAGAAGGAUAGAGGUAGUAACUGGCCUUUAUUUGACGGUAAUCAACCAGAAAGUCACGGCUAACUACGUGCCAGCAGCCGCGGUAAUACGUAGGUGGCAAGCGUUGUCCGGAUUUAUUGGGCGUAAAGCGAGCGCAGGCGGAAGAAUAAGUCUGAUGUGAAAGCCCUCGGCUUAACCGAGGAAUUGCAUCGGAAACUGUUUUCUUGAGUGCAGAAGAGGAGAGUAGAACUCCAUGUGUAGCGGUGGAAUGCGUAGAUAUAUGGAAGAAUACCAGUGGCGAAGGCGGCUCUCUGGUCUGCAACUGACGCUGGGGCUCGAAAGCAUGGGUAGCGAACAGGAUUAGAUACCCUGGUAGUCCAUGCCGUAAACGAUGAGUGCUAAGUGUUGGGAGGCUUCCGCCUCUCAGUGCUGCAGCUAACGCAUUAAGCACUCCGCCUGGGGGAGUACGACCGCAAGGUUGAAAC